RNAcentral lists this small RNA (29 nucleotides) under Bombyx mori (domestic silkworm). Its description in RNAcentral is "ovarian small RNA-29996". Lineage: Eukaryota; Metazoa; Arthropoda; Insecta; Lepidoptera; Bombycidae. The record is from RNAcentral.
UCUGCUGGUAUACCAGUGCCUAAACUACU